UACGUGCUCUCUGUUAGGAUGG
This 22-nucleotide microRNA is filed under the name Sarcophilus harrisii (Tasmanian devil). RNAcentral's name for it is "Sha-Mir-430-o25_3p* (star (passenger))". The record is from RNAcentral. Lineage: Eukaryota; Metazoa; Chordata; Mammalia; Dasyuromorphia; Dasyuridae.